Molecule: long non-coding RNA, 401 nt
Organism: Brassica napus (rape)
Lineage: Eukaryota; Viridiplantae; Streptophyta; Magnoliopsida; Brassicales; Brassicaceae
Exons: 2
Source: RefSeq, a predicted model, not a curated record
AAACUGAUUCAAAAUCGUUUUCCUUAUAGUUCCUCGGAUCGAAGCGAAGCAUAACGGAGAGAUCUCUCUUGCCCUCAAAAAUGGCGGCGAAAGCGAUUGCGAGUAUAUCUCCAAAGGCAGGCUUAUUACUACUACCAUUUACAUCUCCAGCUUCUUCUUCUUGGUCGUUUUUUAGUAUUGUCGUUACCAAAACCUUCGAACCCGAAGUCAGAAGGAGGAGAGUCCAUGUCCUGAAAGUAGAUAUUUCCAUUAAAGGGGGAUCCAGAUUUUGACGGAUGUUUUUUUUUGGGUUUGAAAAGUGUUUGACUUUAUGUUUAGAUGUGAAAUCAAACUUGAAAGCUCCCAAGUGUUUGAAUUUCGAUGGUUCUGGUUUCAGACGUUUAUAUAAAAAAAGGUUUAUU